This 790-nucleotide ribosomal RNA is filed under the name Haptophyta environmental samples. Its description in RNAcentral is "eukaryotic LSU rRNA". It matches the Rfam family "Eukaryotic large subunit ribosomal RNA", at positions 133 to 1004 of the family's 3401-position model. The record is from RNAcentral. Lineage: Eukaryota; Haptophyta.
GCCCCCCGAAUUGUAGUCUAGAAAGGCGCCAUCGGCCGCGCCCGCCGCUCAAAUCCCUUGGAACAGGGUAUCGGAGAAGGUGAGAAUCCUGUACCGUGGCGGUCCGCGGCCGCACGAUGCGCCCUUGCAGAGUCGGGUUGCUUGGGAUUGCAGCUUGAAGUGGGUGGUAAAUUCCAUCUAAAGCUAAAUAUUGGCUCAUGACCGAUAGCGAACAAGUACCGUGAGGGAAAGAUGCAAAGAACUUUGAAAAGAGAGUUAAAGAGUGCUUGAAAUCGGCGAGAGGAAACCCGUUUGUGCCCGGCUUCGCGUCGUCAAUUCAGCCGUUUCGCAUCGGUGCACUUUGGCGUCGCGGGUCAUCCGCGCUUCUGGUUGCGUGACACCCGCCUGGGGGGCUUCGGUGAGCCAGGUCGUCGACGCUACUGGGAGUCCGGCUGACGGAACGGGCACAACCGACCCGUCUAGAAACACGGACCAAGGAGUCUGACACGGAUGCGAGUACCCGGGUGGCAAGCCCGCGUGCGCAAUGAAAGUAAAGGGCGUGCCCCGCCAACCGACCUUGAUCUUCUGUGAAGGGUUUGAGUCGAGCAUCACUGUCGGGACCCGAAAGAUGGUGAACUAUGCCUGAGUAGGUUGAAGUCUGCUGAAAGGCAGAUGGAGGACCGUAGCGAUACUGACGUGCAAAUCGUUCGUCGAACUUGGGUAUAGGGGCGAAAGACUAAUCGAACCAUCUAGUAGCUGGUUCCUGCCGAAGUUUCCCUCAGGAUAGCUGGUGCUCGUAUACGAGUUUCAU